CAUUACACAUCUAGCUAAAAGAUUACUGUAUCGCUGUUGGCAUAACUUUUAUAGAUAACUUUCAUACCUAUUGGAAACAGAAGAUGUGCUACAGUAAUGACGGAGUCCAUCCAAAUCAUCUUGGAGGACCCGGUCCUCGCAUUUCAAGGCCGCGUUGACACAAUCACUUAUCAGUAACCCAAGACCUGCUCAGAUAACCCCUAGCAUUGUGUCGUUGAGCUGUCGUAGUGCUGCUGCAAAUGUACAUUUUCCCAGGGGUGAUGUCAGUCAUAAUGUAAGUAACCUAAUUUAUGUUCCUCUAAAUGCUUCUCAAUCCGACAGCUAUUGUCAGCAGUAAUCAUGUGCCUACGAACCUGAAUUCUCUUUCAUUUUUGUAAUGGGUCGCCAAACGGCCUAUAAGAACUCUUUCACCUUCACGCUAUGUGAUUAAGAUGCUUAUGUUUUUCUGUGAUCAUGGAGCUCAGCGGUGCUGUAGGCUACCGAUCCUCGCUUGACCGAGUUCACCAACGCAGAGACUGACAAUCCACACUUGACUGUGCCAGUCAGAUAACUUCAUAUUUAGCCCGGAACUUGAUAUAUAUUUAGGCGGGAGCCUCGACCCCGAAGCACAACGGGUCAGAGUCAAUGCUAAGAAUAACUUUCUCUCAAAGCAUUUUUAGCCGAUACUGAGGCAAUCGAAGCAUACACUGAGACACACUGUGAAAAUCUGUUAUUUGCACACUGAUUCUGUGGUGUACACAGGGUGUUGUUCCACCCAUGUCAACAGGAUGAACAUGCACUCACUGUCAGACAUUCAAACCAAGAGCAUUGAAAUCUCGACUUGCACGCUUUGGGGACAGAGGCUCCAGAUUGUCAUCAGAUUAGUCUGCCACACAGAUCAAUGAUCAUUCCAAAUGCUCCAGGUCUAAUGAUGGAUCUCAUUCCACUCGUGAUUCACCGCCUAAUAAACGCCAUCCUCGCCUGGGCACAAAUCUCAACGCACUGAGAUGUGCAGGGAGAUUAAGUCACUGGACAGUCGUAUGCCAACCAUCCAGAGCACAUCCUGGCCAGGCUUCCUCCACUGGUUCCAAACCCAACCCCUACCUCUGAACUGAGCAUGAAUGUAAAUGUUGUUGAAUUGGAUGACACUAAUGUACUGUCCACAGGUCUGACACUCUUAUGACACAGACUAUGAGCACUCUGAUGAAGAUGAUGAUGAUGAUGAUGAUGAUGCUAUGUACCACAGCUCUAGCAUCGUUCAGUCCCAGCCUGCCGGCCUGGCAGUGAUGGUCAACCAGAAAAUAUCCUUAUCUGAAAUCAUUGAGAGGGCAAGCAGGAACCUCAACGUGAAACAUGUACCAACUGCCAUGGCGUCCACAUCCAAGUUUGAUUAAUUCAGUUCCUCAAAGACAAACAUUCAUCCCGUUGUUCAAAGACUUCAUGUGAGCUCCAAUGCAAUUGGAGGAUGCCAAAUGGCAGAACUCCUGCCAUGCCAAGCAUAUGCACUCACUUAGCUACAUUUCAUAGUGCAGAUGAGAACGUUUUUUGCCAUUUCCUUUGUAUGGACAAAUCAUUUGCUUCGCUUGUUCAGCCUGCUUCUUUCCGUCACAGUUCAGACCAUAGAAAUAAGAAUGAAUAAAACGGGCUUGGGACUUCUAACCCUUGAAAAUUUGACAGGUAAACUCAUGGUUACACUCUCAAUGACUGCCUGGUAUUGUGAUGUAAUAAUUUCCAUGGUAUGGGUGCUGUGCUUUGGCAAAGUGGGUGGGGUUAUAUCCUGCCUGUUUGGCCCUGUCCGGGGGAAUCGUCGGACGGGGCCACAGUGUCUCCCAACCCCUCCUGUCUCAGCCUCCAGUAUUUAUGCUGCAAUAGUUUAUAUGUCGGGGGGCUAGGGUCAGUCUGUUAUAUCUGGAGUAUUUAUCUUGUCUUUUCCGGUGUCCUGUGUGAAUUUAAGUAUGCUCUCUCUAAUUAUCUCUAUUUUUCUCUCUUUCUUUCCUUCUUUCUUUCUUUCUUUCUUUCUUUCUUUCUUUCUUUCUUUCUUUCUUUCUUUCUUUCUUUCUUUCUUUCUUUCUUUCUUUCUUUCUUUCUCUCUCUCUCUCUGAG
Molecule: long non-coding RNA, 2082 nt
Filed under: Salmo salar (Atlantic salmon)
Lineage: Eukaryota; Metazoa; Chordata; Actinopteri; Salmoniformes; Salmonidae
Description: lncRNA (ENSSSAG00000098316.1)
Source: RNAcentral